UGAUGUAAGGGCAUAAAAAAGGUUUUGAUUUUUUAAGGUGCAGUUCAAUUCUGCUCAA
Molecule: transfer RNA, 58 nt
Filed under: Strigamia maritima
Lineage: Eukaryota; Metazoa; Arthropoda; Chilopoda; Geophilomorpha; Linotaeniidae
Description: tRNA-Lys
Source: RNAcentral